UUUCAGCCAGAGCCCAGAACCAGCCGUUGUCCCCUGGCAAAAGAGGCCCAGUGCUGGGCCCUGGGCAAGUGUCUCCAGACCUCCCUACCUUUCUAUAUUAGUCUUCUUUCCCAACAGAACCUAUUUCCUUUUGCCACUAAAACUAGGUUGCAUCCAAAAGUUUCUCACAAGCUUUAAAAAAAAGAAAGAUGAAAAAUUAUACAGAAGAAUUCACAAAAGCUGCAGAGCACCAGGGCAGAGAAGCAGCGUCAGACACAGUGGCUGGCUGCAUAGCUGACAGAUGUUAUCAUCAUUGAAUGAGCGAGGAAAGGAGGGCUCUCAAGCGAACACAACAUGGCUACCUGUCUCCAGGCUCGGCGGCACUUCCCAUUGCUCUACACAAGCUAUGAAACAGUGAUGCCCUGGACAGCAAAAAGGUCUAUGAGCUUGCAUGCACAGCGCCCUUGGAAGAAGAUUGCGAUGGGCUAAAAGUUGUGAGGAUGUUGCAGGCAAGGCCUGGACUUGGUGCAGUGAAGGAAAUUCCAUCACACCUGCUCCCGACUCUAGGAAUGCCAAGUUAGCCAGCUCCCACUUCGCCCCAAAAGUCAGCCUCUCCUCCCCCUGUUACCAAGAGACAGAAGAAUUUAAGAAAAGGGAUGGAUCCCAUAUUUAAGAGGCUUGAAAUUGUAUACAUGACAUUGCUGAGUUAAGUUAUAAAAUACAGCCCCCUUCAUCGCAGGAAAAAUUUUAAAAAUGUAGUUAAAACUUAUCAUUUAAAAACCAUUGCACUAAGAGGAACGGAAAAUUCUGUUGACAUAAGAUGUGUACAAAACUAUUCCUAUUAUCAGUGGGGCUGGGAUAUAGCUCAGUCAUGGAGUGUUUGCACAGCAAUGUGAAUGGUCCAAGGUUCAGUCCCCAGAACUGGGAAAGAAAAGGGGGAGGGGAGGAGGUAUAUUCACAGCUGCAUUUCCAAUAUAGGCAGGAAGUGGAAAGAAUCCAAACGCCUACCAAUGAAUGGAUAAGUGUAAGGUGUUAUAUCUAUACAACGGGAUACUAGCCAGCAGUUGAAGAGUAUGAAAUAAUAAAGAUGACGGCAUGGAUGCCCUUUUAAAUUUCUUCCUAAGUAACAGAAGACAAUCACAAGGAAAGCACGCACUCCAUAUUUCUGGAGUAUAUAGGCAUACCUACAUAGAGACAGGAGAACAGUGGUUGGCUGGGACUUGGAGAGAGGGACUGGACUUUAGGAGACGGCAGGGUGGUGCAGGUGAAAAUGUUCUUGAAUUAAUUGAAGUGCUGGUUGGACCACUUGAUAACUGCAUUUAAAAACCACUGAAUUUUAUUUGUAAAUGGGGGAAUUGCAUGAUGCAUUGAUUAUAUCUCAAUAAAGUCUUUAAUAGUUUUUAAACAAUA
Molecule: long non-coding RNA, 1389 nt
Organism: Arvicola amphibius (Eurasian water vole)
Lineage: Eukaryota; Metazoa; Chordata; Mammalia; Rodentia; Cricetidae
Exons: 3
Source: RefSeq, a predicted model, not a curated record